UACAGAGGUCUCGAGCGUUGUUCGGAUUCAUUGGGCGUAAAGGGUGCGUAGGUGGCGAGGUAAGUCGGAUGUGAAAUCCCGGGGCUCAACCCCGGAACUGCAUUCGAUACUGCCUUGCUAGAGUACUGGAGAGGAGAUUGGAAUUUACGGUGUAGCAGUGAAAUGCGUAGAUAUCGUAAGGAAGACCAGUGGCGAAGGCGGAUCUCUGGACAGUUACUGACACUGAGGCACGAAGGCCAGGGGAGCAAACGGG
Molecule: ribosomal RNA, 253 nt
Filed under: uncultured bacterium
Lineage: Bacteria
Description: partial 16S ribosomal RNA
Rfam family: Bacterial small subunit ribosomal RNA
Source: RNAcentral